This 465-nucleotide ribosomal RNA is filed under the name Escherichia coli. Its description in RNAcentral is "bacterial SSU rRNA". It matches the Rfam family "Bacterial small subunit ribosomal RNA", at positions 338 to 804 of the family's 1533-position model. The record is from RNAcentral. Lineage: Bacteria; Pseudomonadati; Pseudomonadota; Gammaproteobacteria; Enterobacterales; Enterobacteriaceae.
CCUACGGGUGGCUGCAGUGAGGAAUAUUGGUCAAUGGGCGGAAGCCUGAACCAGCCAAGUAGCGUGAGGGAUGACUGCCCUAUGGGUUGUAAACCUCUUUUAUAAGGGAAUAAAGGGAGUGUCCUGUUUUGCAUGUACCUUAUGAAUAAGGACCGGCUAAUUCCGUGCCAGCAGCCGCGGUAAUACGGAAGGUCCGGGCGUUAUCCGGAUUUAUUGGGUUUAAAGGGAGCGCAGGCGGUCUUAUAAGCGUGACGUGAAAUGCAGCGGCUCAACCGUAUGAUGUGCGUCGCGAACUGUGAGACUUGAGUGUAUUCGAUGUCAGCGGAAUUUGUGGUGUAGCGGUGAAAUGCUUAGAUAUCACGAAGAACUCCGAUUGCGAAGGCAGCUGACAAGGCUACAACUGACGCUAAAGCUCGAAAGUGCGGGUAUCGAACAGGAUUAGAUACCCUAGUAAUCAAUGACGUA